Callithrix jacchus (white-tufted-ear marmoset) is the source of this 107-nucleotide small nuclear RNA. The record is from Ensembl. Lineage: Eukaryota; Metazoa; Chordata; Mammalia; Primates; Cebidae.
GUGUCCACUUCCGCAGCACCUACACUAAAAUUAGGAUGAUACACAGAAGGCUGGUGUGGCCGCUGAGCAAGAAUGACAUGCAAAGGUGUGCAGCGUUUCGUAUUUUU